RNAcentral lists this ribosomal RNA (457 nucleotides) under uncultured bacterium. RNAcentral describes it as "bacterial SSU rRNA". It matches the Rfam family "Bacterial small subunit ribosomal RNA", at positions 53 to 555 of the family's 1533-position model. The record is from RNAcentral.
ACAUGGCAACUCGAACGCUAGCUUCGGGUCGAGUGGGGCACGGGUGAGUAACGCGUGGGAAUCUGCCCUGUGGUACGGAAUAACAUCGGGAAACUGGUGCUAAUACCGUAUAUCCCCUGAGGGGGAAAGAUUUAUCGCCAUGGGAGGAGCCCGCGUAGGAUUAGCUAGUUGGUGAGGUAACGGCUCACCAAGGCGACGAUCCUUAGCUGGUCUGAGAGGAUGAUCAGCCACACUGGGACUGAGAUACGGCCCAGACUCCUACGGGAGGCAGCAGUGGGGAAUAUUGGACAAUGGGGGAAACCCUGAUCCAGCCAUGCCGCGUGUGUGAUGAAGGCCUUCGGGUUGUAAAGCACUUUCGCACGUGACGAUAAUGACGGUAACGUGAGAAGAAGCCCCGGCUAACUUCGUGCCAGCAGCCGCGGUAAUACGGAGGGAGCUAGCGUUAUUCGGAAUUACU